Strigops habroptila (Kakapo) is the source of this 3417-nucleotide long non-coding RNA. RefSeq lists it as uncharacterized. Lineage: Eukaryota; Metazoa; Chordata; Aves; Psittaciformes; Psittacidae. The record is from RefSeq and is a predicted model, not a curated record. The transcript has 4 exons.
GGGGCCGGCGCCGGCGCCCCGCUCCCGAGCCGCCGUUAGCGGCGGAGCUGCGUUUGGUACGGCUCUCCUCUCAGAAAGGGCGAAGACCCCCUCAUUUCUGUUACCUUAAACACAGCGUGUCAACGGCGCAGCCGGGCCCGCUGCUUCAUAGCAGCCUGCAAAGUAACUAAAACCAAACCGGGUUAGGAGCUCAUGGCUGCCAGUGCCAUCGGUACUAGUGAAAGUCACUACGAGGUUACUGAUUAUUUUGUGUGCAAAUUUUACCCACAUAAAUCUGCUGCUGCUAUGAGUGCAAAUAAUUUGACACUAGAAAUGACAAAUCAGGAAGAUAAAUCUAAUGGAAAUUAAAGAGGAAUAAGACCCACAUCAUCUAAGAAUUGUAUGGGUUUGCUUACUGCAUUCAAUUUAUGAGUUAAUUUCUAUUAUACAUAAAUAAAACUAAUUUUCAAGUUUAUAAAGCCUGAAUCACUGGAUGAUGGAUUUUCAAAUAAGGUCUGUUUGUUGUUAUGAAAGAAAAUUGGAUGAAGACUUUGCAAGUCAGGAUUGCUUGUGUGCAAGUCACUGGGCUGCUUGCCCUUCGCAGUUCAUGGCCCGUGAUGUACCCUUGGCCACCUCUGUCAUAUCCAGCUGAAUAACAGAAGCCUUCCAAGUAAAAGAACAGAAAACAAGAGAGAAAAAAUUAUACUACACUUGUGCUUUAGCAUCACUGCAACAAGCCACAAAGAAUCAUUUGUAUCAACUGCCUCGGUCAGGCUCGCUUCUGCUGCAGCUCGCAGACAGCACAGUUAUCCAGGAGACAGGAAGAAUGCAGUCAAGAAUAAUGCAAAAGUGGGUAAAAGCCAAGACUCAUCAAUCUUUGCUAUUCAACCCUCUUCAGACCAUACUGGAUUCCUAGCAUGCUUUUUAGGAGUUUGGCAGAAGGUGUGCAGAGCCAGAACAUGAUCUUCCUCUCUUCUUUCUUCAUGCAUGCUAAAAAGCAACUCUGGAAUAUCCUAGCACUUCUUCUCAUAGGUUUCUAUUAGUUUUCUUGUUAGUAAGCACCAUACGUCACUCUUUCUACAGACCAGUACUGUAUUUACUGGAACCCGAGUGUAUGUGGUAAGUAACACCACAGCUCCUGUAUAUGAUGCACCAGCUAUAUAUUACACAAAACUUCAAUAAAGAAGUCACUUUUAUCAUUUCUUCCCCAUUCAGAAAUACAUUUAUAUAUGUGUUCUCUUACCCAUGGUGAAGCAGUGUUUGGAAUAUGUUAUUAAGGGUAACAGAUCUAUUUGAAUAACAGGGUUAUUUUGAUGUCUUACUGUUCAUUGGGAUAAUUCCUCGAAGUCAGGGCAGUUCUGAAACAUGAAAGCAGCAUUAAAUAAGAAAUUAAAAAACAACAACAACAAACCCAUGACAUUCUACCUGAGUGAAAAGCUACAAUGAAAUUAAUCACCCUUUUAACUAACUGAAAAUUUCUUUAGCCAUGUUUCUGCUAUGGCAACUGGGCCAGCAUUAGGCUGGUUGAUGGGGUUUGUGAAAUGAUCUUUAGAACUUUCCACUCUGAUGAAAAAUCUUUCCAACUCCUAAUAGUCCAGCUGGCCCAGUCUCUUUUAGCAAGGUAAGUAUAUAUCAGUCCUUGGCUCUUUUCCAGCCACUCACGUAAAUAAGACAAUGUAUUGAGUGCUAGGUGUGAAAGAAAUAUACAUAUCUUUAAAAGUUAACAAGAAAACAAUUUUUGUUUGUUUAAUUUAGAAGCUGGCAUUCUCCCUCCUGCCUUUUCUAGUUGCUAAUAGCAGGCAACUUCAAUCUCUGCCAGGCCUUGAGAACAGCUAGAGGCACUGACUACACAAAAGGACAGGAUUUACACCUUUACAUUUGGCUGACUUUGCCUAAUUUGGCAAAAGAAAAAUCUUUGCCAUUCCUGGUUUUCAGAAAUCUGCAAACUAAGCGAGGCCUGCUGAACUGUUGUCUGAUGUCUGGGAGUUGCUAAACUGUGAUAGCAUUUUGAAAAUGAAAUGGCUAAAAUAGCACAAGCAUUGCUUCUGUUAUUUCUAAAACACCCUAGAAUUUGCUUGCUUUUAUUUUCCUGAACAGGCCAGUACUAGAGACAAGGUUUACAGUUAACAUUCACCCCCCCUGUAUUUCAUCAAUACACAUUUGUUCAAUUCUUGUUCUGCUAAGAUGAACACUUGAUUUAAAAAUUGAAAUAAAUUUAGAAAUCUUUGAGGAGGAAAAUUCUUGAAGGUCUUUAGCUAAGGUGAACCCAAGCCCUUUCAAGUUAAUUAAGAGCCUUCUUAAAGGCAGGCAGAUUGAUGGCAAGGUCACAAAAGAACACUGGUCUGUUUUGGGGGAACUCCGCAUGCCUAGAUCAAAGAUUAUGUUCUAGAAAAUGAAAGGGAAAGAAAAAAAGAAACCUUGCUCAGUAUCUCUGUAUACCUGGAAAGUGCUCAGUGCCUGGGUCUGGCACUGGAUAUGCUAAAAACUGCUCAGGUCUGGGACCUGGCUUGAAGGUCAGCUUGGUCUUGGUUGGACCCUCUAGAGAGCAGAGACAGCGGCAGGCAAAGCAAGGCACUGUCAUAGCUUGGCCACUUUCCUCAGGUGGCUGCUGCUGGUGGGUGCGUGGGGCUGUGGGAAGGUGGACGUGGCCCUUCCUCUGUUAAUCUGCUGCUGAGAGGCCCCUCUGCCCAGGGGUGCCAGCCCCCCUUAUAUCCCACCAGGAGGAGUCCAGAGGAAGAGGGCUGUCAGGAGAGGAAGCCCCGCCGCCUCCCAGCUAGUCAGUGACCAUGGGUGCCACUGUACAAGUAUGCCCCUGACAGCCCGUCCAGGACGGGACUGGCCCUGCUGCUGCACCUCUCGAACUUGGAGGAAAUACUUGCUCAGUGGCUCGGGGAAGAGGGGCUGGAGCCUUAGCCAUAAACACUCUUUUUCCACAGGCAAAUGAAUGGGAAGUGUUUCUAAUAUAUGUGUAUGCAUACGGUUGUCCUGCAUGUUGGAGAUAUCAGAAAUAUUCAUUACAAUGGCCUUCAAAGUAAAAUUGAAGGAAAUUUUGAGUAAUAUUGAUCAAAAAAUGAAACUGUAUAAUUUUAAAAAUGCCAGAAUAUUGUGACUGAUUUGUAUUUUCAGCUCCUUUUCAUUUUUUUAUGCUAGUCCUGAAACCUAUAGAAAGUAGUGAAGCAUAUAACUAAAUCUGUAUUAUUGGUUGAAAGAGGUUUCUGAUGAUAGCACAUGCCUAUCCCUAGUUGUUAUAACUUCUUGAUUAGAAGAACCAGGAAAGCAGGCAAAGGAGUAAGAGUUAAGCAAUUUGCAGGAUUUUUUGUUUUAUUUCUGCACUCCCAGGCAGGACCCCAUUGAACUAAGAAGAAAAUAAUAUUCCAGAAAUAAUUCUUAUUGCCUGACUUCAAUUUACUGCUAGUAUUCUCUCUCCAUAAUGAAACA